This 496-nucleotide ribosomal RNA is filed under the name uncultured bacterium. Its description in RNAcentral is "partial 16S ribosomal RNA". It matches the Rfam family "Bacterial small subunit ribosomal RNA", at positions 29 to 507 of the family's 1533-position model. The record is from RNAcentral.
AUGAACGCUGGCGGCGUGCCUCAUCCCUGCCAGUCGCGCGAACAGACGAGGAGCUUGCUCCUCUGACGUUAGCGGCGGACGGGUGAGUAACACGUGGAUAACCUACCUAUAAGACUGGGAUAACUUCGGGAAACCGGAGCUAAUACCGGAUAAUCUAUUGAACCGCAUGGUUCCAUAGUGAAAGACGGUUUUGCUGUCACUUAUAGAUGGAUCCGCGCCGCAUUAGCUAGUUGGUAAGGUAACGGCUUACCAAGGCAACGAUGCGUAGCCGACCUGAGAGGGUGAUCGGCCACACUGGAACUGAGACACGGUCCAGACUCCUACGGGAGGCAGCAGUAGGGAAUCUUCCGCAAUGGGCGAAAGCCUGACGGAGCAACGCCGCGUGAGUGAUGAAGGUCUUCGGAUCGUAAAACUCUGUUAUUAGGGAAGAACAAAUGUGUAAGUAACUAUGCACGUCUUGACGGUACCUAAUCAGAAAGCCACGGCUAACUACGUG